RNAcentral lists this ribosomal RNA (400 nucleotides) under uncultured bacterium. Its description in RNAcentral is "bacterial SSU rRNA". It matches the Rfam family "Bacterial small subunit ribosomal RNA", at positions 355 to 772 of the family's 1533-position model. The record is from RNAcentral.
UGGGGAAUAUUGGACAAUGGGCGAAAGCCUGAUCCAGCAAUGCCGCGUGAGUGAUGAAGGCCUUAGGGUUGUAAAGCUCUUUUACCCGGGAUGAUAAUGACAGUACCGGGAGAAUAAGCCCCGGCUAACUCCGUGCCAGCAGCCGCGGUAAUACGGAGGGGGCUAGCGUUGUUCGGAAUUAUUGGGCGUAAAGGGCGCGUAGGCGGCUAGGCAAGUCAGGUGUGAAAGCCCCGGGCUUAACUCGGGAAUUGCACCUGAAACUGCUGUGCUUGAGUUCUGGAGGGGGUAGUGGAAUUCCCAGUGUAGCGGUGAAAUGCGUAGAUAUUGGGAGGAACACCUGUGGCGAAGGCGGCUACCUGGACAGAGACUGACGCUGAGGCGCGAAAGCUAGGGGAGCGAA